This 547-nucleotide ribosomal RNA is filed under the name Salmonella enterica subsp. enterica serovar Newport. RNAcentral's name for it is "partial 23S ribosomal RNA". It matches the Rfam family "Bacterial large subunit ribosomal RNA", at positions 161 to 747 of the family's 2925-position model. Lineage: Bacteria; Pseudomonadati; Pseudomonadota; Gammaproteobacteria; Enterobacterales; Enterobacteriaceae. The record is from RNAcentral.
AAUCCAUAGGUUAAUGAGGCGAACCGGGGGAACUGAAACAUCUAAGUACCCCGAGGAAAAGAAAUCAACCGAGAUUCCCCCAGUAGCGGCGAGCGAACGGGGAGGAGCCCAGAGCCUGAAUCAGCAUGUGUGUUAGUGGAAGCGUCUGGAAAGGCGCGCGAUACAGGGUGACAGCCCCGUACACAAAAGCGCAUGUGCUGUGAGCUCGAUGAGUAGGGCGGGACACGUGGUAUCCUGUCUGAAUAUGGGGGGACCAUCCUCCAAGGCUAAAUACUCCUGACUGACCGAUAGUGAACCAGUACCGUGAGGGAAAGGCGAAAAGAACCCCGGCGAGGGGAGUGAAAAAGAACCUGAAACCGUGUACGUACAAGCAGUGGGAGCACAGGUUUACCUGUGUGACUGCGUACCUUUUGUAUAAUGGGUCAGCGACUUAUAUUCUGUAGCAAGGUUAACCGAAUAGGGGAGCCGGAGGGAAACCGAGUCUUAAUUGGGCGUUAAGUUGCAGGGUAUAGACCCGAAACCCGGUGAUCUAGCCAUGGGCAGGUUG